Molecule: ribosomal RNA, 422 nt
Filed under: uncultured Clostridium sp.
Lineage: Bacteria; Bacillati; Bacillota; Clostridia; Eubacteriales; Clostridiaceae
Description: bacterial SSU rRNA
Rfam family: Bacterial small subunit ribosomal RNA
Source: RNAcentral
UGGGGAAUAUUGCACAAUGGGCGAAAGCCUGAUGCAGCAACGCCGCGUGAGCGAAGAAGGUCUUCGGAUCGUAAAGCUCUGUCCUUGGGGAAGAUAAUGACGGUACCCUUGGAGGAAGCCCCGGCUAACUACGUGCCAGCAGCCGCGGUAAUACGUAGGUGGCAAGCGUUGUCCGGAUUUACUGGGUGUAAAGGGCGUGUAGCCGGGUCUGCAAGUCAGAUGUGAAAUCCAUGGGCUUAACCCAUGAACUGCAUUUGAAACUGUGGAUCUUGAGUGCUGGAGGGGCAAUCGGAAUUCCUAGUGUAGCGGUGAAAUGCGUAGAUAUUAGGAGGAACACCAGUGGCGAAGGCGGAUUGCUGGACAGUAACUGACGGUGAGGCGCGAAAGUGUGGGGAGCAAACAGGAUUAGAUACCCUGGUAGU